RNAcentral lists this ribosomal RNA (203 nucleotides) under Gonium pectorale. Its description in RNAcentral is "large subunit ribosomal RNA fragment L3". It matches the Rfam family "Bacterial large subunit ribosomal RNA", at positions 696 to 909 of the family's 2925-position model. The record is from RNAcentral. Lineage: Eukaryota; Viridiplantae; Chlorophyta; Chlorophyceae; Chlamydomonadales; Volvocaceae.
UAUAAAACGUUUAUUGGACCCGAAACAGAUCGAGCUAGCUGUGUGGCAGGUCUGGCAUUUACCAGGACCGAACCCGUGUCUGUUGCAAGAGACUGGGAUGACCCGCGGCUAGGGGUGAAAGGCCAAUCAAGUUCUGUGAUAGCUGGUUUUCUGCGAAAUCUAUCCGAGUAAAGAGUGUGUGAACAGACCAUAAUAAUAUAAAA